This is a long non-coding RNA of Anopheles merus, 296 nucleotides long. RefSeq lists it as uncharacterized. NCBI's taxonomy places the organism in Eukaryota, Metazoa, Arthropoda, Insecta, Diptera, Culicidae. The transcript is spliced from 2 exons. The record is from RefSeq and is a predicted model, not a curated record.
GAUAGCACGGAUCUUGUGCACGGGAGGCUCUUUACGCACAAACCUUGCGGAUGAUAACAUUCUUGUCAAAACAGUGCUCGAUGGGUUCAGCCCGAUCGGGGAACGAGGUACUCCACACAAGAUAAGCAACCGAAAGGCGUAAUACUCCAAAUUAGUGCUCCUAAUGAAUGGGGCAAUCGGCCCCAGUCGGGUGUAGUUUUGAAAGCAACAACAGCUCGGAUAAGAACACACAAUAGUAUCUACAUCCGGUUGCCAAGAGGAGACUGGCUCGCCAAAGACGCAAUAAAACACGGUUU